GAUGAACGCUGGCGGCGUGCCUAACACAUGCAAGUCGAACGUGAAGCCUUCAAUGAUUACUUCGGUAUGAAAUGUUGGUGGAAAGUGGCGAACGGGUGAGUAACACGUAGGUGACCUGCCUCGGAGUGGGGGAUAACCAUUGGAAACGAUGGCUAAUACCGCAUGGCUUUGCUCAAGUGGGAACUUGGGUAAAUAAAGCUCUGGCGCUCUGAGAGGGGCCUGCGUCCGAUUAGCUAGUUGGCGGGGUAAUGGCCCACCAAGGCGACGAUCGGUAGCUGGUCUGAGAGGACGAUCAGUCACACGGGAACUGAGACACGGUCCCGACUCCUACGGGGGGCAGCAGUGAGGAAUAUUCGGCAAUGGGGGCAACCCUGACCGAGCAACGCCGCGUGGAGGAUGAAGGCCUUUGGGUCGUAAACUCCUUUUCUGUGGGAAGAGACAAAGGACGGUACCACAGGAAUAAGUCACGGCUAACUACGUGCCAGCCGCCGCCGUAACAC
This 500-nucleotide ribosomal RNA is filed under the name uncultured bacterium. Its description in RNAcentral is "bacterial SSU rRNA". It matches the Rfam family "Bacterial small subunit ribosomal RNA", at positions 28 to 526 of the family's 1533-position model. The record is from RNAcentral.